Molecule: long non-coding RNA, 427 nt
Organism: Gallus gallus (chicken)
Lineage: Eukaryota; Metazoa; Chordata; Aves; Galliformes; Phasianidae
Exons: 3
Source: RefSeq, a predicted model, not a curated record
AAGCAAGUCUUCUGGCUACAUGGCCUCCCUCAGCUCCCCAGCACAAUGCCAACACCAGCAGUCCACAGUUGGGGAUGCCACCAGCAGACAUCCCUGGUCUUUCCUCGUUCUCUCCUUUCUUCCUGCAGGAACAAGCAAGGAAAUAACACAGAAUUCCAUCUGUAAUGUUUUCCUCUGGGUUCGAGUGGCUGGCACCUGCUUCCUGAUCCUCACUACCAUAACCAUCACCAUCAUGCACUGCCAAAGACCAAGCUCACCGUAAGCAAGCAGCGCUGCAUCGCUGCUCAGCAGAAGGCACACAGGCGUCGUCCUCAAGCACCGCACGGAUCCCAUCAGCAACACGCACAGCUGCCCUGACAGAGCGUGGGCAUCUGGCUGAUCCUUCACUGCCUACCCAUCAAUCUCACACAAAACUCAGCUCUCAGAC